RNAcentral lists this ribosomal RNA (253 nucleotides) under uncultured bacterium. Its description in RNAcentral is "partial 16S ribosomal RNA". It matches the Rfam family "Bacterial small subunit ribosomal RNA", at positions 524 to 776 of the family's 1533-position model. The record is from RNAcentral.
UACGAAGGGGGCUAGCGUUGCUCGGAAUCACUGGGCGUAAAGCGCACGUAGGCGGCUUUUUAAGUCAGAGGUGAAAUCCUGGAGCUCAACUCCAGAACUGCCUUUGAUACUGGAGAGCUUGAGUCCGGGAGAGGUGAGUGGAACUGCGAGUGUAGAGGUGAAAUUCGUAGAUAUUCGCAAGAACACCAGUGGCGAAGGCGGCUCACUGGCCCGGUACUGACGCUGAGGUGCGAAAGCCAGGGGAGCGAACGGG